Molecule: transfer RNA, 77 nt
Filed under: Rickettsiales bacterium
Lineage: Bacteria; Pseudomonadati; Pseudomonadota; Alphaproteobacteria; Rickettsiales
Description: tRNA-Arg
Rfam family: tRNA
About the family: Transfer RNA (tRNA) molecules are approximately 80 nucleotides in length.
Source: RNAcentral
GCAUCCAUAGCUCAAUAGGAUAGAGUAUUUGACUUCGAAUCAAACGGUUGGGGGUUCGAUUCCCUCUGGAUGCACCA